GAUGAAGAACGCAGCGAGAUGCGAUAAGUAAUGUGAAUUGCAGAAUUCAGUGAAUCAUCGAAUCUUUGAACGCACAUUGCGCCCGCUGGUAUUCCGGCGGGCAUGCCUGUUCGAGCGUCAUUUCAACCCUCAAGCUCUCCGGAGUUUGGUGUUGGGGCGCCUGGGGCUUUUCGACCUCAGGGCCCUCAAGUCCAUCGGCGGGACCGCCAGGACACUGAGCGCAGUAGUAUUAUUUCGCUCGGUAGGAUCUUCCACGGCGGGUCGAUCUGGCCGCUAAACCCCCCAAUUCUCACCAAAGGUUGACCUCGGAUCAGGUAGGAAUACCCGCUGAACUUAAGCAUAUCAAUAAGCGGAGGA
RNAcentral lists this unclassified non-coding RNA (357 nucleotides) under soil metagenome. Its description in RNAcentral is "partial contains 5.8S ribosomal RNA, internal transcribed spacer 2, and large subunit ribosomal RNA". The stretch from base 1 to 120 matches the Rfam family "5.8S ribosomal RNA", at positions 35 to 154 of the family's 154-position model. The record is from RNAcentral.